This 3232-nucleotide unclassified non-coding RNA is filed under the name Leishmania donovani. RNAcentral describes it as "gene:LdHU3.01.0640(CDS-product:hypothetical_prote in_conserved)". Lineage: Eukaryota; Euglenozoa; Kinetoplastea; Trypanosomatida; Trypanosomatidae. The record is from RNAcentral.
GGGUCCACAAAAUCAGGUGCGCACGCCCAUCGCUCACCCUUCGCCCUCCUUCGUCACCAUCCAGGGGCACACACGUGCGCGAGUCCCUUGCGUUCUCCCCACACGAGAGAGAGAGAGAGGGGUGGCUUGUGUGUGUGCGUGUGUGUGUACGUGCAUUGCGGCUGCUACUGUCGCGGACCUGCACAUCCGACCGCCACCAUGACGUCGCGCGUCCAGCUCGACUUCUUCGUGCCGCCGCCGGAGCGGCGACAGUGCGUACGCGAACGACUGGCGCAGAAGCGCGCGCCGAUGUUCGAGUGGCGGCACGACUUCGCGGAGUCCGACUUCGACGCGGCCACAGGGGAGCGCCGCCCGCUGCGACGCAUCUUCAACCCCGUGGCGAAGGAGCACCCGGCUUCCGCGCGCCGUACCCACGCCGCGGCUACCACAGUGUCUUCAGCACGGCCAGCGACAGCCCCUGUGUGGAAGGCUGCGGCGAGCGGCAGCGCUGAUCGGCGCAACGCGUGGAAGCAGUCCGGCUUCACGUUCGUCGAGAACUACUUCCGCAAGAGCGCGCACUUGCCGGUGUCGCAGUCGCGCCCCCACACCUCCGCCUCUGCGUGUGGCUUGCUCCGCAGCGCGCGCCGAGGCGGGGUGUACGUGCCCUACCUGCACGACACGAUUCUCUUCUGUGAGCCUCUGCCGCGUUCGAUGGAGUCGCGUCGUGGUCGCCCUGGUGGCGGCGACGGCGCUGCCGCAGCAGCCGACCAGUUGCCGCCGGUCCAACGGACGCCCUCCACGGCAAGGGUGGUGCUGGCCGUCACGUGCAACGCCGCCGAGUCGCGCGCGAGGGAGUUGCAGGCGUCGGUUGAUGCGAAGAGGGCAGAGCUGCUGGGCUUCUCGAAGCCGUCGACGUCUUCGCAGAAAGCGCAGCAGCAGCAGCAGCAGCAGCCGGCGACCUACCUAUACGCCGCUGGCGUCGAGAGCUACACCUGCGAUGACGACGACAAAACGUCGAGGGCCGCCGCGACGAUCGCCAGCACCACCGGCGGCGUCGACUACGUCAACACAGCGGCGACCGCGCAAGGAGAAACGUGCUGCGACGUCGUGGGGCCCUCCAUCGCGGCCAAGCAGCGCGCGUUGGCGAUGGCCGAGGGCGUGUACACAGACCUCAUCCUUAAUCGAGGAAAAGCUUGGUCAGCAACCGCGACGGCGGCCGCCACGAAGACGGAGCUGCCGACGUGCGAGCUGGCCUACAGCCUGAGGCCGUCCUACGUGCAGUCGCGUCUUCGCCGAACAGCAGGGCGGCGCAGCAGCGGCAGCCAGAAUCUCGGCACCGCCGGCAUCGUCUCAGACCGCUACUCCGCAUCGUUGGACGAGGGGAUGAGUGGCACCACGCAGCACACCACGGCGGCGACAUCGCCCAUGGCGGCGUGCGCGUCAGCGCCGCACAUCCGCGGUCACCGCGGCAAUGGUGUAUCGGGACCACCAUCGGAGCGCGCCAUCACGCGGUCCCCUGGUAACGACAGCAUCGCCGGUGCAAUGCCGCUAGCGGCGACGGAGGUGGCGCUCGCGGACACAAUCACCUUUUUGCGGCGCAGCGGCAGCACUGCGUACCACAGCAGCACGACAGCGGUACCGCCGCCAGCCCUCUCGCCGAUGGAACUCAGGCACGACCUCGAGGGCACGGGGAAGACACGCAGCCCUGACGGCGCCCGUGGCCUAGCCACAUCCAAGACAUCUCCUACUGCAGCCGCGGCCGGCGCGCGAGCCGGGCACCGCCAGGGCCUUCAGUCGACCUCUUCACCGUUGCCGAGCCACGGAAACGCGCAGCUGCAGUCCGACUCGAACCCCUUGCUGCACCUACUCUACCGGACAAGCAACAGCACCGACUCGCCGACGUACCUGCGCACCUACGGCGAUGCCGGCGGCAGCACUGUCGCUGGUGGCAGCAACUACGGCAGCGGCGAAGGGGGUCAGCGCCAUCGUCGAGAUGGGCGCGACGCCAGAGACAGCCCUCACCAAAGCCCCCUCAGGCCGAGAGGGGGCGGGGACGUGAGCAACGAUGCGCAACAAGAUCACCGCCGCUGCCAGCGGCCCUUCACAGCGUACCGUCUGCCGACGGAGUCGAAGGAGACACGGGUGUACGCGGUGCGGUUGCGUGGCUUGUGCAACGCGGACGCGUCGCUUCUCAAGCGCGCCGAGCCGCCGCGGCGCGGGAUACCGGUGAUGCUGCCACCGGACUGGCAGCCGGACUGCUGAGUCCGUAUGUAUAUGUGUGUACGUGUUGUCGUUGUUGCUUUUCUCGCUCACCGUCUCGCCCCUCCCCCUGCGCUCACGCACGCCUUGCUCGGCGUUUGUGGUGGUGGUCUGCUGCUCCCACCGCGGAUGCUACUGGUGUUGCCGGCAACCUCGUGCUCGCAGAGAGACGGCGGCAGCGAGCGUCUUGCUGCGGUUCUUGCACGCGGAUGCGCGUUCUUGAACAACGUCUUUGCUCUUCUUUUUCACUCUUCGCACAGUCCAGCGCACGUUCCUGUCUGCCUCUCUAUCCUCUCGCGUGUGGUGUGUGUGUGUGUGUGUGUGUGUGUGUGUGUGUGUGGUCGUUCAUGAUGCCCUUUCAUUUUUUUUUCGGCUGGCUCCUUCUCUUCGCUUGGCGUGUGAUGUAUCAUAGCCCUUCCCUCCCCUCCUCUUUCCCCUCCCCGGACGUCCUCCUAUGCCAAGACGAGCACAGGAAGUGGUUCCUCCCCUCUCCUCCCCCCCCCCUCUCUCUCUCUCUCGCACGUACGCGUGUGCGCUGUUUGGUGUGUCUCGGCGUCUGUUUUAUGUCUGCGCAUCUGUGUCUCUUCUGUGGUGAGCCAUCUCCGUGAAGCGCGUAUGCGGGCAAGGGGGAGGGAGGGCCGGUGUUUGCGUGCUCUCCCUCAUGUGGUGCGUCCUUCACGCGCGCGCGCGGAGGCGGCUCAUACCCCACUCCCACCCACGCCUCGUGACAUCUGUGCACGCGCACUGGCACAGACACGGGCAAGAUGUUCGACAUUGCCUUCCCUCCCCCUUCUUACUCCGUCGUCUCCCUUGAUGUACUCGUUGUCUGUCACUUUCCUUCGCACGUGCAGUGGGGUGGUGGUAGCAGCGACUGCAUAGAGGAAUGCGAAAUACGGCUUAGCAGUGCAGACGUCUGUCCUGUGUGUAUGUGGUAUAUGGGGUGGCACCGUCAUCCGGAGCAGCCUCAUGUAGUCGUGUGCUCACCAUCGCCAUC